CACAGACCAAGUCGAGUCGUCUCUAGCAGCGGUACAGCUCAAUCUUCAAAGCUCGACUCAAUUCUUUCUAAAACUUAUACUGAAAAUGACUUGUAAAAUUGCCAUUUAUUGUCUUCUUCUUGUCGCCUUGAUUGGCUUGGUAUCGGCAGCUCCACAAUCUGGAAGAUCGGAGUACGGUUAUAGACAUUAUUGUGAAAAGAAAACAUUCCCUGGUGGAUCAACGAAGUCAAGAUGGUGGACUGAUGGAGAAUUAAUUCGACUCCCGUCCAGGUGGAGAGAAUCGACUACAGCUGCAAGCUCGAUCGAUGAUAGCGGAAUAACUACGUAUACUCAAAAUUGGUAUCAAC
Daphnia pulex (common water flea) is the source of this 347-nucleotide long non-coding RNA. RefSeq lists it as uncharacterized. NCBI's taxonomy places the organism in Eukaryota, Metazoa, Arthropoda, Branchiopoda, Diplostraca, Daphniidae. The transcript is spliced from 2 exons. The record is from RefSeq and is a predicted model, not a curated record.